GGAGUUUGGACCGUGUCUCAGUUCCAAUGUGGGGGACCUUCCUCUCAGAACCCCUACUGAUCGUCGGCUUGGUGGGCCGUUACCCCACCAACUACCUAAUCAGAAGCGUGCUCACCCGUAAUCCUUUCGUUUCAUCACAAAGUCAUGCGGCUUCGUGACACAUGGAGCUUUAAUCCAACUUUCGCUGGGCUAUUCCCCGAUUACGGACAGAUUGCACACCUGUUACGCACCCGUGCGCCGGUCGCCGGCAAUUAAAGCAAGCUUCAAUCCCGCUGCCCCUCGACUUGCAUGUGUUAGGCCUGUCGCUAGCGUUCAUC
This 317-nucleotide ribosomal RNA is filed under the name uncultured Paludibacter sp. RNAcentral describes it as "partial 16S ribosomal RNA". The record is from RNAcentral. Lineage: Bacteria; Pseudomonadati; Bacteroidota; Bacteroidia; Bacteroidales; Paludibacteraceae.